UGAUGCAGCGACGCCGCGUGGACGAUGAAGGCCUUCGGGUCGUAAAGUCCUUUCGGGUGGGAAGAAAUGGCCUGGAGCUUAUAUCUCCAGGCCUUGACUGUCCCACCGAAUGAAGCCCCGGUUAAUUCCUGGCCACCGCCCGCGGUAAUCCGAAGGGGGCCGCGUUUGCUCGAAAUUAUGGGCGUAAAGGGGGCGGUAGGCGGGAUGGUAAGUUUGAUGUGAAAUCCCGGGGUUCACCCGUGGAAUUGCUUCUCAUACUGCCGGAUUAAAGUCUGGGAGAGGGAAGCGGAUUUCCCGGUGUACCGGGGAAUUGCGUAAAUAUCGGAGGAACACCAUGGGCAAAGGCGGCUUCCUGGACCAGUACUGACGCUGAGGCGAAAAGCUAGGGGAGCAAACGGGAUUAAUACCCCUGGUGACCCUUACCUUAAACAAUGUGCUUUGUUGGGGGUAACGACCUCUCCA
RNAcentral lists this ribosomal RNA (462 nucleotides) under uncultured bacterium. RNAcentral's name for it is "bacterial SSU rRNA". It matches the Rfam family "Bacterial small subunit ribosomal RNA", at positions 384 to 843 of the family's 1533-position model. The record is from RNAcentral.